CUCCGGGAGCCUCUCCGCCGGCUGCGCCGCUCGCCUCCAAGGGAGCGUUCCGUGCUGGCCCCUCGCUCGGCUCCGCUCCGCCUCCGCCACGCCGCUCUCCGAGCUUCGGCAGCAGCCAGCGCCCCCUCCACGCUGCGACCCCGGCUCUCGGCUCUCCGUCCCUGUAGCUCCGUGCCCAGCACCUCGCGCCCCGCAACCUCGCCGUCUCCCAAGUCCCGGGCCCCGCUUCUGUCGCUGUCCGUCGCUGUCCGUGUGUCGCUCGCUCGGUCUGUCUCUCCGCCUCCCCAGCCCUUCCUUCCUCCCUGUCUCCCUCGCUGGCUUGCACGUUCGCUCGCUCUCGGACGCGGCGAAACAGCUUCGCAGGCAAAUCCCAGAAACCUUUGCAAAAAGCUUGCAAUGAAAUUUAAGAAGUUCUUCGAUUUCGGCGCCAUUUUCGAGUGGAGCCAGAGGUGACAUGCGAUUUUUUAAAAAGGGACUUGGUGGCUGGCGUCUUUCCCGACUGUAACGUGGGUUACGGCAGGCAGAAAAACAUCUGGUGAUAAUUCUGAAAAAAGUGCUGUGGCGUUUGGGGGGGUUGUAAAGCACGUUUUGCGGGCGGGAUGGGGGCAAAUCUGACAUUUAAAGUGUUUAACAAAUGAGUGCGGCCGGGAAAUUCUCAGGAAACGGACUGGGAAAAAAAAAACAACAACUAACAUGGAGGGGCGGGGAGAGAAAACUGAGUAAGGGGCAGUGACCGACUGUCAGCCUCGCUAGGGUCGGGAGCGACUGGUUUUGACAGAAUGUAAAUGAACUUUUCCUCUUAUUUGCAAGAAGUUAGUUAUGUCUUGGAAAGAAAUGUGUGAUUAAUUUCACAUUGUCUCUCCCGAAUUAAAACUUUAAAGGUUGUUUAGUUUUCCCCGUAGGGACUUGACAUUGUGGAAGUUUGGCUAGAAUGCGCCGAGAGAAGGUACAUCGUGUGUUUGGGGUGUGGGGGACGAAGGCAUAUGCAAAAUUAAAAGACAAAACGUUGUAGAGUAUGAACAGAGGAAGAGGCGUAUUCUUUGGCUCUUAAAUCAUUUAGCCAAACACAUUGCAGUUCAGAAGGGGGUGGGGCUAUGGCAACUCGAAAGUAUCGAUUCUUUGUCUAUUGUAUCAGUGAAUGACCCUCUCCUGAAGUGACAAGACGCCCCUUUGUAAUCUCUUUUCGUAAGUAAAUUUCAGUCUAAGGGGAAAUAUGUAAACUAGGGGAUCGAGGUGGCUUUUUAGGGGUGUAACUCGUUGUACUAUCACUGGGAGAGAUGAAAGGGGUUAGGGUGAAAGGUAUAAAUGAAUUUGAUUCCAAGAGCAAUCUGGAAGGGACCUUCGCCUUUGACACCGAUGCUGUUUCGAAUGAACUUUUGUUUUUCUAAGUAGUCAACUAAGGAAAUGUUAAAUUAGGCAUGACUUUAACUUCUGACAUGAUGGCUCGUAUAUUUGUGUGGAACAAAAUGUUGGGAGAAAGUUGUGGAGUUUUACAUGAUAAUUGUACAUUUGCUAAACAUGUUUUUUUUUUCUUUUUAAGGGCAGUCAACGACAUUUUUCUCCAUUAAUCCCAAAGUCAGUGUAAAAGUUGUUUGUAAAUAUCAUUGCCAAAACAAGAUGGAAUGUAGAGAUACUUGAUUGUCGCAAUUUAGGGAAUGGGGUUAUUGUUACUAAUGACUUUUUUUUUUUACCAUGACAUAGUGUAUUUGUUACCACUGGAUCUCAGUCUGGAUGUUAUAAAUUCGAUACUUAAUCUUAUUAAAUACUCUGCACAUUUUAUUAACUAAUAAAUAGGACACUUAACAUUCAUUGUACUGGUUUUGAAAAACCGACUUAAUUUGUAAGUGUAACAAGAUACUUACAGUUGGAUAAUUUAAAUGUCUAUUACUUGUGCUGAAAUGUAUUUAACUUUCAAAACCAUUACAGUUAGUGCUGAUUUUGUUGUUUUAACUUUUAGGUUUGUGAUUGAGGAUUUCAGAGUGGGUUUUUUUUUUAAUGCUUAAUUGAAUAUUGUAUUCAAACAAAAAGAGGGCAUGCAUGUGACUUGUUGCUAAUAUGUGUCCAUUUUAAAAAGGAAAAAGUGGUAUCUAAUGAGUUAAUCAUUAAGGAGUAUGCGCAGUGCCGGCCAUUUCAGGACAUGAAAGUUUCUGUGGAGCUGCUUGAAACAGGAAGGAGCGACUUGACAUCAAGUAUUUAAACUUUUUGAUUUAUGUUUUGAUAGAUGACAUUGAUAGGUAUAAAUUAUAAAUAAGUUUGAGUAACCAGUUUAAUAUGUAAACUGGUAUUUCAUCUACAGAAAGUUCUCUGUCAUUGUUUGGAGCUCUUUAAAAUAACUCAGCUGGGGUGUUUAAGAAUAAAAACACUAGCAGUGAGUUAGGACAUCUAAUGCUUUUAAAGAUAGAUGUAUAUGUCGCAACGAUAGUGUAAGAAUCAGCUGAAGCUACCGGUGAGGUUUUGGUUAUUUUCUUUCAGUCAUCUGAGUCCAUUUCCAAUAAAGGUUGUUUUUUUGUUUCGUUUUUUGUUUUUUUUUAAUGGGGACAAUGAAUGAGACUUGUAAUAUGCAGCAGGAAGAAGUUUCACCAAGACUUUGAAACUGGCAAGAAUGAUCCAGAUGUCCAAUUGCCUCUACUUAACCUUAUUCGUCUACCUUCAGAAGUAAUUAGAUUCUCUUCCACACUAAUUCGUAUCCCCCAUCGCUCUGCUUUUCACCCACUACGUUGUUCCAAGAUUCAUCCUCAGGGGAAAAAAUUGAGAGCCACACUUUCGGCUCCACCUGCAGCUCCUGGAAAUCAAAUGGUGAAGUUAUAAGAAGUACCUUAACUUGGAGUGAAGUGGCCUAGUCAUAAGUUUUGCCCUAUUCCUUGCCAGGGGGUGGGGCGGGGCUUCCUUCAGUCAUCCAGUCUUUAUUCACCCGCAGGUACCCCCAGAUCGAUC
This 2934-nucleotide long non-coding RNA is filed under the name Homo sapiens (human). Its description in RNAcentral is "long non-coding RNA NONHSAT223578.1". Lineage: Eukaryota; Metazoa; Chordata; Mammalia; Primates; Hominidae. The record is from RNAcentral.